UGGGGGAUAUUGCACAAUGGGCGAAAGCCUGAUGCAGCGACGCCGCGUGGGGGAUGAAGGCUUUCGGGUUGUAAACCUCUUUCGCUAUCGAACAAGGCCCGCUUAGGGUGGGUUGAGGGUAGGUGGAGAAGAAGCGCCGGCUAACUACGUGCCAGCAGCCGCGGUAAUACGUAGGGCGCGAGCGUUGUCCGGAAUUAUUGGGCGUAAAGGGCUUGUAGGCGGCUUGUUGCGCCUGCUGUGAAAACGCGGGGCUUAACUUCGCGCGUGCAGUGGGUACGGGCAGGCUUGAGUGUGGUAGGGGUGACUGGAAUUCCAGGUGUAGCGGUGGAAUACGCAGAUAUCUGGAGGAACACCGAUGGCGAAGGCAGGUCACUGGGCCAUUACUGACGCUGAGGAGCGAAAGCAUGGGUAGCGAACAGG
Molecule: ribosomal RNA, 420 nt
Filed under: bacterium
Lineage: Bacteria
Description: partial 16S ribosomal RNA
Rfam family: Bacterial small subunit ribosomal RNA
Source: RNAcentral